This is a non-coding RNA of Chiloscyllium plagiosum (whitespotted bambooshark), 308 nucleotides long. Lineage: Eukaryota; Metazoa; Chordata; Chondrichthyes; Orectolobiformes; Hemiscylliidae. The record is from RefSeq and is a predicted model, not a curated record.
GGUACUCAGGAAGGUCCUGACCUAAUAGACUUCCCAGCUGCGGGGUGUCUCAUCCAUCCCUCAUUGAAGAUGGUUUGUCAGCCAGAGAGACACAGGGCAGGGAGAUCUGGAGCCUUCAAUAAAUCCUGCAGUGAGCGAAAACAAAGAAUCACUUCUCAACGAAAAAACGGCACAUCACAAAGCUAUUUCAUGGAUUUCUGGCACACACCACCAACCAGUGUAUCUGCUUCCACAUAACUAGGAAAGAGGUCGGGCCAGUCAAGUCUAAAGGAAGGAACUUGUGCUUGAAAUCAGUGGAAGUGGACGAG